GAUGAACGCUAGCGGCAGGCCUAACACAUGCAAGUCGAACGGUAACAUGAGAGCUUGCUCUUGAUGACGAGUGGCGCACGGGUGCGUAACGCGUAUACAAUCUACCUUUUACUGGGAGAUAGCCUUUAGAAAUGAAGAUUAAUAUCCCAUAGUAUAAUGAUAUGGCAUCAUAUUAUUAUUAAAGUUUCGGCGGUAAAAGAUGAGUAUGCGUUCUAUUAGCUAGAUGGUGUGGUAACGGCACACCAUGGCAACGAUAGAUAGGGGCCCUGAGAGGGGGAUCCCCCACACUGGUACUGAGACACGGACCAGACUCCUACGGGAGGCAGCAGUGAGGAAUAUUGGACAAUGGGCGCAAGCCUGAUCCAGCCAUGCCGCGUGCAGGAAGACGGCCCUAUGGGUUGUAAACUGCUUUUAUACAGGAAGAAACACUCCCUCGUGAGGGAGCUUGACGGUACUGUAAGAAUAAGGACCGGCUAACUCCGUGCCAGCAGCCGCGGUAAUACGGAGGGUCCGAGCGUUAUCCGGAAUCAUUGGGUUUAAAGGGUCCGUAGGUGGAUAAUUAAGUCAGAGGUGAAAUCCUGCAGCUCAACUGUAGAAUUGCCUUUGAAACUGGUUAUCUUGAGUUAUUAUGAAGUAGUUAGAAUAUGUAGUGUAGCGGUGAAAUGCAUAGAUAUUACAUAGAAUACCAAUUGCGAAGGCAGAUUACUAAUAAUCAACUGACACUGAUGGACGAAAGCGUGGGGAGCGAACAGGAUUAGAUACCCUGGUAGUCCACGCCGUAAACGAUGGUUACUAGCUGUUCGGACUUCGGUCUGAGUG
This 819-nucleotide ribosomal RNA is filed under the name uncultured Psychroserpens sp. RNAcentral describes it as "bacterial SSU rRNA". It matches the Rfam family "Bacterial small subunit ribosomal RNA", at positions 28 to 845 of the family's 1533-position model. Lineage: Bacteria; Pseudomonadati; Bacteroidota; Flavobacteriia; Flavobacteriales; Flavobacteriaceae. The record is from RNAcentral.